This 30-nucleotide non-coding RNA is filed under the name Mus musculus (house mouse). The record is from RNAcentral. Lineage: Eukaryota; Metazoa; Chordata; Mammalia; Rodentia; Muridae.
UGAGACAGGGUUUCUCUGUGUUGCCUUGAC